This 1557-nucleotide ribosomal RNA is filed under the name Staphylococcus aureus. Its description in RNAcentral is "16S ribosomal RNA". It matches the Rfam family "Bacterial small subunit ribosomal RNA". Lineage: Bacteria; Bacillati; Bacillota; Bacilli; Caryophanales; Staphylococcaceae. The record is from RNAcentral.
UUUUAUGGAGAGUUUGAUCCUGGCUCAGGAUGAACGCUGGCGGCGUGCCUAAUACAUGCAAGUCGAGCGAACGGACGAGAAGCUUGCUUCUCUGAUGUUAGCGGCGGACGGGUGAGUAACACGUGGAUAACCUACCUAUAAGACUGGGAUAACUUCGGGAAACCGGAGCUAAUACCGGAUAAUAUUUUGAACCGCAUGGUUCAAAAGUGAAAGACGGUCUUGCUGUCACUUAUAGAUGGAUCCGCGCUGCAUUAGCUAGUUGGUAAGGUAACGGCUUACCAAGGCAACGAUGCAUAGCCGACCUGAGAGGGUGAUCGGCCACACUGGAACUGAGACACGGUCCAGACUCCUACGGGAGGCAGCAGUAGGGAAUCUUCCGCAAUGGGCGAAAGCCUGACGGAGCAACGCCGCGUGAGUGAUGAAGGUCUUCGGAUCGUAAAACUCUGUUAUUAGGGAAGAACAUAUGUGUAAGUAACUGUGCACAUCUUGACGGUACCUAAUCAGAAAGCCACGGCUAACUACGUGCCAGCAGCCGCGGUAAUACGUAGGUGGCAAGCGUUAUCCGGAAUUAUUGGGCGUAAAGCGCGCGUAGGCGGUUUUUUAAGUCUGAUGUGAAAGCCCACGGCUCAACCGUGGAGGGUCAUUGGAAACUGGAAAACUUGAGUGCAGAAGAGGAAAGUGGAAUUCCAUGUGUAGCGGUGAAAUGCGCAGAGAUAUGGAGGAACACCAGUGGCGAAGGCGACUUUCUGGUCUGUAACUGACGCUGAUGUGCGAAAGCGUGGGGAUCAAACAGGAUUAGAUACCCUGGUAGUCCACGCCGUAAACGAUGAGUGCUAAGUGUUAGGGGGUUUCCGCCCCUUAGUGCUGCAGCUAACGCAUUAAGCACUCCGCCUGGGGAGUACGACCGCAAGGUUGAAACUCAAAGGAAUUGACGGGGACCCGCACAAGCGGUGGAGCAUGUGGUUUAAUUCGAAGCAACGCGAAGAACCUUACCAAAUCUUGACAUCCUUUGACAACUCUAGAGAUAGAGCCUUCCCCUUCGGGGGACAAAGUGACAGGUGGUGCAUGGUUGUCGUCAGCUCGUGUCGUGAGAUGUUGGGUUAAGUCCCGCAACGAGCGCAACCCUUAAGCUUAGUUGCCAUCAUUAAGUUGGGCACUCUAAGUUGACUGCCGGUGACAAACCGGAGGAAGGUGGGGAUGACGUCAAAUCAUCAUGCCCCUUAUGAUUUGGGCUACACACGUGCUACAAUGGACAAUACAAAGGGCAGCGAAACCGCGAGGUCAAGCAAAUCCCAUAAAGUUGUUCUCAGUUCGGAUUGUAGUCUGCAACUCGACUAUAUGAAGCUGGAAUCGCUAGUAAUCGUAGAUCAGCAUGCUACGGUGAAUACGUUCCCGGGUCUUGUACACACCGCCCGUCACACCACGAGAGUUUGUAACACCCGAAGCCGGUGGAGUAACCUUUUAGGAGCUAGCCGUCGAAGGUGGGACAAAUGAUUGGGGUGAAGUCGUAACAAGGUAGCCGUAUCGGAAGGUGCGGCUGGAUCACCUCCUUUCUAA